UCUCAUUACCCCUACACUCCGUAUAUCCACCUCUUUCUCUGUCUGACAGUGUGACAUGUCCCCUCUCUGCCACACUCACUACAUCCACCUCUUUCUCUGUCUGACAGUGUGACAUUUCCCAUUACCCCUACACUCCGUAUAUCCACCUCUUUCUCUGUUUGACAGUGUGACAUGUCUCAUUACCCCUACACUCCGUAUAUCCACCUCUUUCUCUGUCUGACAGUGUGACAUGUCCACCUCUUUCUCUGUCUGACAGUGUGACACUCACUACUCACUCCACCUCUUUCUCUGUCUGACAGUGUGGCAUGUCCCAUUACCGCUACACUCACUACAGCCACCUCUUUCUCUGUCUGACAGUGUGGCAUGUCCCAUUACAGCUACACUCACUAUUUCCACCACUUUUUUUGUCCCAGGAUGCAGACCAGGAGCCCUGCCAACUAGUAAGAAGGAUAGGAGAGGACAGUGAGUGCAGAGGACAGAGGAUUCAGAGUCACUAAUUAGUGAAAGAUACAAGGUGGAAGCUCUGGGUAUGGAAAAUCGGGACAGAUUGACUGGACUAAGAUGUGUGGGAGUAGGGUUUAUAAGAAGGAUAAAUACAGGCUGUGCUGUGAGUUGUGGGAGUUGGGUCUGUAAUAUGGAUAAGGAUAGACUGUGCUGAGAGUUGUGGAACUGAGAUUUGUAAGAUGGAUACAGGUUGAUUGGGCUGAGAGUUGUGGGAAUGGCAACUGUAAGAUGAAACAGAUAGAUUGGGCUGAGAGUUGUGGGAGUGGGGUCUGUAACAGGGGAGCCUCACAGCGAUGACCAUGGGAUGAAGCCGACAUAAUAUUCAGCGUAUUGUAUUUGUUCUGCUGAGUAGAAUC
Pelobates cultripes (western spadefoot toad) is the source of this 860-nucleotide non-coding RNA. The record is from the annotation of a GenBank genome assembly. NCBI's taxonomy places the organism in Eukaryota, Metazoa, Chordata, Amphibia, Anura, Pelobatidae.